CCUACGGGAGGCAGCAGUGAGGAAUAUUGGUCAAUGGACGAGAGUCUGAACCAGCCAAGUAGCGUGAAGGAUGACUGCCCUAUGGGUUGUAAACUUCUUUUAUAUGGGAAUAAAAUGUUCCACGUGUGGGAUUUUGUAUGUACCAUAUGAAUAAGGAUCGGCUAACUCCGUGCCAGCAGCCGCGGUAAUACGGAGGAUCCGAGCGUGAUCCGGAUUUAUUGGGUUUAAAGGGAGCGUAGGUGGAUUGUUAAGUCAGUUGUGAAAGUUUGCGGCUCAACCGUAAAAUUGCAGUUGAAACUGGCAGUCUUGAGUACAGUAGAGGUGGGCGGAAUUCGUGGUGUAGCGGUGAAAUGCUUAGAAAUCACGAAGAACUCCGAUUGCGAAGGCAGUUCACUGGACUGCAACUGACACUGAGGCUCGAAAGUGUGGGUAUCAAACAGGAUUAGAUACCCGGGUAGUC
This 460-nucleotide ribosomal RNA is filed under the name uncultured bacterium. RNAcentral's name for it is "partial 16S ribosomal RNA". It matches the Rfam family "Bacterial small subunit ribosomal RNA", at positions 338 to 795 of the family's 1533-position model. The record is from RNAcentral.